UGUGUCUGCUCAUUUUGAAUGGACAUCUCAAGGCUUUGGCCUCUUCCUUACUUGCAGAGCUUCUGUCUGAAGUGUGCAAUGGGAUGAAAUAUUUGAAUGGCACCUGUCUUUCUGUUAUGGAACAUGCCCGUGCAUUGGGUCUCCGCAAGAACACAUUCUUUCAGAGUUUAAAGACUUAAGAAGCUAAUUAUGUGCAUAUGUAUGUUGGGGGAGUGCAUUUCUGCUGUGGAGUCCAAACCAAUGAAGCUUGUUUCUGUACACCUCUGCAUGGGCAAACCUGGAACAGACAUCAUCACAUGACCUGACUACUGAACAGAGUCUGUGGGUCUGGAUCAACAAUGUUGAUAUGAUAAAAUAUUUAAGACCCUAUGUAGUUAAUACUAAGGGCUAAGUAAACAUCAUUAUUAUUGUCAUUUUAAGGUAUGUAAUAUAAUGAUGCUUUCUACUUAAAGUGCACCUAUACUGAGCUGGCCAUGUCUAUGGGACUCAGUAUUUGUAUGAAUAAGGGAAAGCAAUAGAAAAAUGUGUACCAGAAACAUAAA
Molecule: non-coding RNA, 542 nt
Organism: Peromyscus maniculatus bairdii (prairie deer mouse)
Lineage: Eukaryota; Metazoa; Chordata; Mammalia; Rodentia; Cricetidae
Source: RefSeq, a predicted model, not a curated record